Molecule: ribosomal RNA, 259 nt
Filed under: uncultured bacterium
Lineage: Bacteria
Description: partial 16S ribosomal RNA
Rfam family: Bacterial small subunit ribosomal RNA
Source: RNAcentral
UACGGAGGGUGCAAGCGUUAUCCGGAUUUACUGGGUUUAAAGGGUGCGUAGGUGGGCCUGUAAGUCAGUGGUGAAAUCUUCAAGCUUAACUUGGAAACUGCCAUUGAUACUAUAGGUCUUGAAUUAUCUGGAGGUAAGCGGAAUAUGUCAUGUAGCGGUGAAAAUGCUUAGAGAUGACAUAGAACACCCCAUUGCGAAGGCAGCUUACUACGGAUUGAUUUGACACUGAGGCACGAAAAGCGUGGGGGAUCAAAACAGG